GAUGAACGCUGGCGGCGUGCCUAAUACAUGCAAGCCGAGCGAACGGACGAGAAGCUUGCUUCUCUGAUGUUAGCGGCGGACGGGUGAGUAACACGUGGAUAACCUACCUAUAAGACUGGGAUAACUUCGGGAAACCGGAGCUAAUACCGGAUAAUAUUUUGAACCGCAUGGUUCAAAAGUGAAAGACGGUCUUGCUGUCACUUAUAGAUGGAUCCGCGCUGCAUUAGCUAGUUGGUAAGGUAACGGCUUACCAAGGCAACGAUGCAUAGCCGACCUGAGAGGGUGAUCGGCCACACUGGAACUGAGACACGGUCCAGACUCCUACGGGAGGCAGCAGUAGGGAAUCUUCCGCAAUGGGCGAAAGCCUGACGGAGCAACGCCGCGUGAGUGAUGAAGGUCUUCGGAUCGUAAAACUCUGUUAUUAGGGAAGAACAUAUGUGUAAGUAACUGUGCACAUCUUGACGGUACCUAAUCAGAAAGCCACGGCUAACUACG
Molecule: ribosomal RNA, 495 nt
Filed under: uncultured bacterium
Lineage: Bacteria
Description: partial 16S ribosomal RNA
Rfam family: Bacterial small subunit ribosomal RNA
Source: RNAcentral